Molecule: long non-coding RNA, 429 nt
Organism: Peromyscus leucopus (white-footed mouse)
Lineage: Eukaryota; Metazoa; Chordata; Mammalia; Rodentia; Cricetidae
Exons: 3
Source: RefSeq, a predicted model, not a curated record
AAUGUUCAGAUCAGUAGUGUUAUGUACAUUUACAUUGUUGGGCAGCUAUCACCACCAUCCAUCUUUAGAACUCUUCUCACCUUGCAAAAAAAUGAACCAAGAUGAAUUUGAAUGCCAAUGUUCUUUAAGACCGUGGACAUCCCAAAUGAAAGUACUGAAAGACUCAUGCUCCAGAAAUCAGCUACCAAAUUGUGAUACCCCCAUAUUUUCUAGAGAAGUCAAGACAUCAACAGUUCAAACAGUGUUUACAGAAAAUCCCAUGCCAAAUUCUAGCCAUGUAGAGGAUAUCCAGCCAAGUGAAGGUCUAGUGUGGUCCAUCACAUGGAAGAGAAGAACUACACAGCUGAUCCCAAUCAACUCAGAAUUAUAGAAGAAAAGGUGGUAAUUUCUCGAAGCCACUUAUAUGUGGGAUAUUUACUAUCCAGCAAU